This 305-nucleotide ribosomal RNA is filed under the name uncultured bacterium. Its description in RNAcentral is "bacterial SSU rRNA". It matches the Rfam family "Bacterial small subunit ribosomal RNA", at positions 334 to 635 of the family's 1533-position model. The record is from RNAcentral.
UGGUCCUACGGGGGGCAGCAGUGAGGAAUAUUGGUCAAUGGGCGCGAGCCUGAACCAGCCAAGUCGCGUGAGGGAGGACGGCCCUACGGGUUGUAAACCUCUUUUGCCGGGGAGCAACGGGCGUCACGUGUGGCGCCACUGAGAGUACCCGGAGAAAAAGCAUCGGCUAACUCCGUGCCAGCAGCCGCGGUAAUACGGAGGAUCCGAGCGUUAUCCGGAUUCAUUGGGUUUAAAGGGUGCGUAGGUUGUUUUAUAAGUUAGCGGUGAAAUACCGAUGCUCAACAUCGGGGCUGCCGCUAAUCCUU